CAUGGAAUGCCAUAAAGAUGAAAGACACAAUUGAAUUUUGUAAACCAAAGGUGGCUUCAAGCAAGCCUUCAAUGGCUCCACUAUGCUCGCAAUGUGGGAAGUCAUUCAAACCCGAGAAGAUGCAUUCACACAUGAAGUCGUGUCUAAGAAUGAAGAGUUCAUUGUCGAAGGAUGAUGAUUUGAUGACGGGAAAUAAUACCAUUAAACCGAACCAGCAACGCUGCAGAAACAUUUCGGGAGAUCCAUCAGGACAUAAACGUGUAGUGAGAGCAACUCUCAAAACUGAUGAAGCUUAGCUAUGAUUGAUUAUCUAGCUGUGAUAUGUGAAUGGAUGCAGACGGGUAAAAUUUUCACUAGUUCAGUGAAGUUCAGUUUGAUGAAGCAGUGCCGUGCGAAGGUUUUCGGAGGUCCGAGGCGAGUUUAAAAAUAUAUUUUACAUGAUAUAUUUUUAAUAAUAUAUAUAUAUAUAUAUAACACUCAAAAGUUUUGAAUUAUUACAUAAACGUUUUCCAAAUUUUCUUCACCAAAAUUUUAUAAAAUAAAAAUUUUAAAUAUGAACAAUAAAUAUGAAUUUGUAAUAUAAAUACAAAGAUAUAAAUUGUUGAUUGAAAUGUUGGUAGCUGUCAAAAAUGUAAAUCUUAGCAUUUAAAUUAACUAUACUAAACUAUAUAUUAAAAAUAUUAUAUUUUCUUUAUCAAAUUCUCAUAAAUAUAUAAAAUAAAUUUAACUCAUAGCAUAUAAAAGAAAAGACCAAUGUGAUAAAAUAUUUACAGUUUUUUAGAAGUAGAAUCUUUAUAGUUUAUUUAAAAUAUAGCAAAAAUGAUCACAAACCUAGUUAAUUUAAACAGAAGUCUAAUUUAAAUUCAAAUAUAAAUAAAAAUCUAACUACGAGAAUAUGUUAACUACCAUGUAAAAGUAUUUUUUUUGUAAUUUAGGACCCUAAAAUUUCUACAAAAUUUGGAGACCCUAGGCAAAUGUCUUUUUCAAAAGCCUCUAAACACGACUUUGGAUGAAGCGCACAAAUUGUUAGAAUAUCAUGAGGUCUUUGGCAUAAAGUGGUUUUGGGUAAUCUAACUGAAGGUUUUAGAAGCUAAUUGAUCACAAUUUGAACAUUUAUGUCUUAAUGACUCAUUAUUUGAUAUAAUGCAAACAGAAAUUUAUUUCGUUCACGUUUUAAAACCUUUAUAUAUACGGUUAUAUCUUACGUACGCGCGCACGUAUGUUCAUGCCAUCAUGUGCGUCAGUGCAUGCAUGUUACUUAUAUUGAUACAUUAGGUUGAGAAUAAUUAAGCACAUGAACUAAAUAAAUACAACAUGAUCUUUGUCGUUUUGUUUUCGAAGAUAAAAUCUUGAAUUUUCAUUCUGUUUCUAGUACAUAUCAUUUUGUCUACAAUAUUUUUAAUCAAAAACUCCACGUCUGCUUUGACCAGAUAAGAUUGAAAGUUCUAAUGGAAAUUUAAGGCCUCUAUAAACUAUAUUAUAAUUUUAUUUCGUUACUUCGACGUUCUUGCCUCUGGUCAAAUAUGGCUCGCUCUUGUGUCAAGCCCUAUUUAAACAAGUGACUUUGCCUGAAAAAACUUAAAUCUCUAACUCAUCGAUCCAUCUUAAGACAAGAACAACAAUAACAAAGUCAACGGUGCAGUAUAGAAUUCUUGUGUGACUCUUAAUAUCAUUAAUGGAAGGAAGCUUGGAAGGUAUGCUGAUGAAAGUGAGCAUUUUCGCUAUGGUUCAAGCUCUUGUAUAUCUUAUUCUCUCUACAUCUUCGAGUGUUUUCUCUAAGUCAAACACGAUGAAGAGACUUCAUAGUUUCCGGUCAGCGAAAUCCACGAGCAUCAGCCGGAUUUUGGCGGUUCUUCAGGAUAUGCCUGCAGGCGGCGAGAUGUCUCCUUCUUCCAUGAGACUCUCUUCUCUUGCUUCUCCUUCAUCGUCACCACUGGAAAGCUAAAUCACAAAACGUAUAUGAUUCAGUAGUUUCUGGUGAAUUAUGUUUGAAUAUUAUUUCUGCAUGUUAGAUAAUGUUCAAUUUCCUUUGUUUAUAAAUUUUUUUGUUUUCUUUUUUUUUUAUAAAGUUUAUUUGUAAUUUAAUCUCCAGUUUGAUUCAUGAUUGAUUAAGAAAACAAGAAAUGACGUGAGCCCAUGUUAAACAAGAGAAACAAAACGUCAGCGUGUUAGUUAAGUAUUCGUCACCAAAUAUUCAUCAUAUCUUUCGAACCGAUUUUCUAUGCUGUAUAUAUAUUAAUAUAUAUAUCUAUAUAUAUAUGAAUAAUGUUUUAUUUUGGCAACCAGAAAAUGAUGAUAGUUUAUUUAUAGCUGGUACCUCUUUAUAGAAAGCUACUUGUAUUAGGAGAAUAAAUGAUACUUAAGGAGAAUAAAUGACAGAGUAUAUACACUACUACUGGAAAUAUCUAGUGGGUAGAAAAGUUGUGCAUUUAUUCUUUAGUUUUAAUUAUCAGAAAGAAGAAAAUGUGUGAAUUACCUAGAAAGCCUAGAAUAAUAUCUCAGACCACUGUUCUUGACUAAUGACUACUAGUUGGAUUAGAUGAUACGCUAAAAGAAUAAAUGUUUUAAGAGUCGCUAUGAUCAUUUAUUUUAAUUUCUACUUAAGAUAUGAUCAUAUAUAGAUAAACACUUAUAUAGAAAUUUCUAAGGAAAAUCAAGUUUGAUGACACUGGAGUCCAACAAACACUUUUGCUCAAAAUUGAUGAGUCAUGAAUACAUCACGGGUAUGAAUGGUGACCAGGAAACGGCGAGGAAUAAUGUAUUCCCUAACGUUCCUUUAAAAAACAUCAUUCAUAAGGAAUAAUAAUUCUUUCUCAUUCUCUUUCGUUCCUUUUUUUUUGUAGAGAAUUAAAGAACAAAACUAUUCCUUGUUAAAAUUGAUAAAGAAUAUUAGAAUAACUAUUCUUUUCAUUCAUGCUAUUUUAUUUUCGUACAUUACUUUUUUAUUUGUUCCUCUUAUUUUUUGAAUGGUCACCAGUCAGAUCCAUUUCAUAUUAAAUCCCACUAUAUAAAAUGGACUAAUUUUGGAUGUUAUAAAGGAUGCCACAUGGGCAAAAUAUUCUCAACCACUCAUUGUGCCAAGUCACUGACGGAUUGGGCUUAAAAAAAAACCCAUGAAAUACGAUCGGGCUUCGUUUGCGCUUACUUAAUCUACGCCUCCGUGAUUUUGCGUGUGGGCCAGCUAAUUCAUUUUCCUCGCAGCCCAGCCCAUUAUAACAGAUGAGUUUUUGCUCACUCCUAAAGCUGUCCACAUAGGCAAAGUGGGUCCCACAAAGAAAAAUGAGUCUGCGUUUUGCAUUUUCGAUUUCGCGUGUAUUGAUUUACGAAAUGGGUUGAUUCACUGACUCUGAAGUGUGUUUUUGGACAAAGUGGCCCAGUAAAAUCAGAAUAAACAAUUACAACGAAAGCCACUUCUCUUCGUAGUCUUCCUCUUCGAUGUAGAUUAGGGUUUCAAUCUGUUCAGUCUCCUGUGAGAAAUCGAAAGCCGCUUCCGAGAUUAACUUAACAUCAAGAAUAACGACGAUCUCAUGAGCAUUAUCCUCCACCUACGAUACAAGAUGAGAGAAGAGCUUUUGACUGGAAACCAGAGAAACAAGAGCUUCCAAUUGCUCAGACUGUUUUUUAUGUGAUUUAUGGAAAACUUACGUAUUCAGAUGCUAGAACAAACUAUUCCCUUAAUGCUAUUAAAUUCUUAAAAAACACUUACUCUUUCGCUCAUUCAAAGAUUUCUAUUACAAACUUUUAUAGCAGGCAGCACCAUGAGAAACUGUUCUUUGAUAUGGAUCCAAACGUGAUCGGUUCAACGAGCUUAAAUCCAAAAAUAGUGGGAGGUAGGCAUGUUGACUCCCUGUUGUAUGAUAUUUCAUCUUCGGAGAACCCAACCUCAAGGACCCAUUUCUAUUUUGAUAGCGAGAGUAACAUAGGUUUCCAGGGGAGUGAAGAUGGGUCCGCCUCAACUGCUACAAAAUAUGGAGGGGUGAAGAAGAUUGUAUCAUUAACACUGUGAGAGCUGAAUUCUUAUGUAAUCAUUUCACCACCACAAGCUGCAGAGUUCUUGUGCACUGCGAAAGUUGACAGCAUUGAAAAAGCAAAUGGGUGGUGCUACUUCUCAUAAUCUAAAUGCUCCCGGAAACUUUAGCGUAGUUUCUCAUCGCUUACAUGCACAGCCUGUCAUGAUGCAAACAUUGUAGUUAUUGUUAGGUGCCAGGUUGAGAUGGUAACAGAUCACUCGAACUCUGUUCUGUUUGUGGUUUGGACGCUGAGAUGAACAAGCUUACCGAAGUCCCUGCCUCAUCACUGUCUCAGGACAUGGGCGCCGGAGUGGAAGACCCAGAGAGCAUAGCCUACCACAAUGCGUUGAAGAUAUCGUAGUGAGGAACUUAACAUUCCAGCUGAAGCUUUCGGAGUUUAAUUUCUCAGGAAAGCAGUUAUUCACCAAGUAGUCAUUCACCGUAUCCCGCAUUUUUUGUCGCAACCAACGUCCACCCCUCCCGCAGCACAAUGAGGUUAUGAUAACCCUGACGAUGAGAUGCCAUGAGCUGGAGCUGUGAAAAAAAAAGAUUCAUCCCAACGUUGAAAGCAGUUUAGCUGUCAACAGCAGUGACCCCAGUAAUUGUCAUGGUGGAAGGCCACCCAGGAGGAAAUACUGAACUAAACGAUAUCCAUGCUUUAUCUGACAUGUCUCCCGAAGAGUUUCAAGAGGCAGAUGGUGUGGAGUGUGCGCACUUCGAAGAAACCUCGCAAUGGGUUUGCUUCCCAUCCAAGGAAUGAAGUGUCCUCCACUGUUAAAUAGGGUUACAGCAGGUGAGGUUAGACAGAUGAAUAUAUUGAAACAACUUAUCUCAUAUUAUUUUUUGCUUUUUGCUUUUCAACACAAUUGUAAUUUGUAUUAACUAAUCAAGCCAUGGAUGUAUUUGACAUGUAAUGAGUUUAACCAUGUAGCUGAAUCGAUGAUUUCUAACCAUAAAGUUUUUGAGGGUCCAA
Brassica napus (rape) is the source of this 4983-nucleotide RNA transcript. RefSeq lists it as uncharacterized. The transcript has 9 exons. NCBI's taxonomy places the organism in Eukaryota, Viridiplantae, Streptophyta, Magnoliopsida, Brassicales, Brassicaceae. The record is from RefSeq and is a predicted model, not a curated record.